Molecule: ribosomal RNA, 839 nt
Filed under: uncultured bacterium
Lineage: Bacteria
Description: bacterial SSU rRNA
Rfam family: Bacterial small subunit ribosomal RNA
Source: RNAcentral
CUACGGGAGGCAGCAGUGGGGAAUUUUGGACAAUGGGCGCAAGCCUGAUCCAGCCAUCCCGCGUGUCUGAAGAAGGCCUUCGGGUUGUAAAGGACUUUUGUCAGGGAAGAAAAGGCUGUUGCUAAUAUCGACAGCUGAUGACGGUACCUGAAGAAUAAGCACCGGCUAACUACGUGCCAGCAGCCGCGGUAAUACGUAGGGUGCGAGCGUUAAUCGGAAUUACUGGGCGUAAAGCGAGCGCAGACGGUUACUUAAGCAGGAUGUGAAAUCCCCGGGCUCAACCUGGGAACUGCGUUCUGAACUGGGUGACUAGAGUGUGUCAGAGGGAGGUAGAAUUCCACGUGUAGCAGUGAAAUGCGUAGAGAUGUGGAGGAAUACCGAUGGCGGAGGCAGCCUCCUGGGAUAACACUGACGUUCAUGCUCGAAAGCGUGGGUAGCAAACAGGAUUAGAUACCCUGGUAGUCCACGCCCUAAACGAUGUCAAUUAGGUUGUUGGGCAAACUUGAUUGUUUAGUAGCGAAGCUAACGCGUGAAAUUGACCGCCUGGGGAGUACGGUCGCAAGAUUAAAACUCAAAGGAAUUGACGGGGACCCGCACAAGCGGUGGAUGAUGUGGAUUAAUUUGAUGCAACGCGAAGAACCUUACAUGGUCUUGACACGUACGGAAUCCUCCAGAGACGGAGGAGUGCCUUCGGGAGCCGUAACACAGGAGUUGCAUGGCUGUCGUCAGCUAGGAUUGUGAGAUGUGGGUCUAAGUCACGCAGGGAGGGCAUCCUUUCUCAUCAGUUGGCAUCAGUAAGCUGGGCAAUCCAAUGAGUCUCCCGGUGCCAAAUCGCAGGA